GAGCAGUACAGUGGAUAUCGUCAACAACAAAGUCAACCUGAUCCGACGGUGGAAAAUUCAGAUCAAAAGGUAAAGGCUUUCGGGAGCACAAGGAAGAGGACGAUGCAAUAUCUCCAUCAUCAACCACCGACGACGACGAAUCACAAUCGCUCUGACAAUCGUCCGGCACUAUCUGUGGAGUCCGACGAUGGAUUUUCUUCGGAGCCGUCGCCGCCAACAAAAGCCCCGAUCUUUUUGUUGCUGUUGCUGUUGCUGUCGCCGGCAGCCCAGGACCGCUGAAAGAUUCCACCGUACUGCUCUGGCUGCUAGAUGUGGGUCUCUGAGGAUUUACGUGAUGCUCAUCAAACCCAUUUGCUGAAUAUACCCUGUAAUCC
RNAcentral lists this unclassified non-coding RNA (374 nucleotides) under Hevea brasiliensis (rubber tree). The record is from RNAcentral. Lineage: Eukaryota; Viridiplantae; Streptophyta; Magnoliopsida; Malpighiales; Euphorbiaceae.